UACGUAGGGGGCAAGCGUUAUCCGGAAUUACUGGGUGUAAAGGGUGCGUAGGCGGCGAUUUAAGUCAGAUGUGAAAACUCAGGGCUCAACCUUGAGACUGCAUCUGAAACUGAGUUGCUAGAGUGCAGGAGAGGAAAGCGGAAUUCCGAGUGUAGCGGUGAAAUGCGUAGAGAUUCGGAGGAACACCAGUAGCGAAGGCGGCUUUCUGGACUGUAACUGACGCUGAGGCACGAAAGCGUGGGGAGCGAACAG
Molecule: ribosomal RNA, 252 nt
Filed under: uncultured bacterium
Lineage: Bacteria
Description: partial 16S ribosomal RNA
Rfam family: Bacterial small subunit ribosomal RNA
Source: RNAcentral